Molecule: transfer RNA, 60 nt
Filed under: Otolemur garnettii (small-eared galago)
Lineage: Eukaryota; Metazoa; Chordata; Mammalia; Primates; Galagidae
Rfam family: tRNA
About the family: Transfer RNA (tRNA) molecules are approximately 80 nucleotides in length. Their secondary structure includes four short double-helical elements and three loops (D, anti-codon, and T loops).
Source: Rfam by way of RNAcentral
GUGGCUCAGUAGGUAGGGCGUUGGCCCCAUAUACCAAGGGUGGCGGGUUCAAACCCCGCC